AAGGAUAAGAGUUUGAUCCUGGCUCAGGACGAACGCUGGCGGCGUGCCUAACACAUGCAAGUUGAGCGGAGAUAUGGAGAGCUUGCUCUUUAUAUUUUAGCAGCGAACGGGUGAGUAACACGUAGAUAAUUUAUCCUAUAUUGGGGGAUAGGCCGAUGAAAAUUGGAUUAAUACCGCAUACAGCUAUUUAACCGCAUGGGGAGAUAGUGAAAGGGGAGACUUGAUAUAGGAGGAGUCUGCGGCACAUUAGCUAGUAGGUGAGGUAAGAGCUCACCUAGGCGACGAUGUGUAGCCGGUCUGAGAGGAUGAACGGCCACAAUGGAACUGAGAUACGGUCCAUACUCCUACGGGAGGCAGCAGUUGGGAAUAUUGCACAAUGGGGGAAACCCUGAUGCAGCAACGCCGCGUGAGUGAAGAAGGUUUUCGGAUUGUAAAGCUCUGUUAGCAGGGAAGAGGAAGGACGGUACCUGCAGAGGAAGCCACGGCUAACUACGUGCCAGCAGCCGCGGUAAUACGUAGGUGGCAAGCGUUGUUCGGAAUAACUGGGCGUAAAGGAUGCGUAGGCGGUUGAGUAAGUUAUGUGUUAAAUAUAUAGGCUUAACCUGUAGAAAGCACAUAAAACUGUUUAACUAGAGUGCAGGAGAGGUAAGUGGAAUUCCUAGUGUAGCGGUGAAAUGCGUAGAUAUUAGGAAGAACACCAGUGGCGAAGGCGACUUACUGGACUGUAACUGAC
This 733-nucleotide ribosomal RNA is filed under the name Candidatus Dwaynesavagella gallinarum. Its description in RNAcentral is "bacterial SSU rRNA". It matches the Rfam family "Bacterial small subunit ribosomal RNA", at positions 1 to 744 of the family's 1533-position model. Lineage: Bacteria; Bacillati; Bacillota; Clostridia; Eubacteriales; Clostridiaceae. The record is from RNAcentral.